Molecule: non-coding RNA, 26 nt
Filed under: Homo sapiens (human)
Lineage: Eukaryota; Metazoa; Chordata; Mammalia; Primates; Hominidae
Source: RNAcentral
UGAAGCAGAGGCAAUGAAUUACGAAG